Molecule: long non-coding RNA, 728 nt
Organism: Alexandromys fortis (reed vole)
Lineage: Eukaryota; Metazoa; Chordata; Mammalia; Rodentia; Cricetidae
Exons: 3
Source: RefSeq, a predicted model, not a curated record
UAAACAAUUAAAUAUUUUAAUAUUUAUUGAAAGUUUGACUAUUACCAUUACAAAUGCAGAAACAUGAAGAACCCUAGUAGGUCUGAUUCCUGCAAUUUAUAGCUGGUCGAGAACAAUAGCUACCUAUGCACUGAAGAAAGAGGAAAACGAUCUUCUGGGAGAAGAGAUCUCUUGCGUGGAAGGCUGAGGGGUGCAUUAUUUGUUCACUACUUGAAGUCUAUGUUGCAAUCUCAACUACGAGCAGAUAUUCUCGUACUUGUAUGAAAGAAGGGUCAGAAAGACCUCCAAAUCUUCAGACCUUUGAUCCCCUGAUCCUUACAUAGAAGGAUGGAAGAUGAUGAGACACAGAGGAUGCUUGGAGACCCACAUUGGAGAACCGGACUGAAAUCUCAAGGUCCAAAUCAGGAGCAGAAGGAGAGAGAGCACGAACAAGGAACUCAGGACCACGAAGGGUGCUCCCACACACUGAGACAAUGGGGAGGUUCUAUCGGGAACUCACCGAGGCCAGCUGGCCUGGGUCUGAAAAAAGCCCAGGAUAAAACCAGUCUCGCUGAACAUAGCGGACAAGGAGGACUACUGAGACCUCAAGAACAAUGGCAAUGGGUUUUUGAUCCUAUUGCACAUAUUGGCUUUGUGGGAGCCUAGGCAGUUUGGUUGCUCACCUUACUAGACCUGGAUGGAGGUGGGUGGUCCUUGGACUUCCCACAGGGCAGGGAACCCUGAUUGCU